Molecule: ribosomal RNA, 773 nt
Filed under: uncultured Neocallimastigales
Lineage: Eukaryota; Fungi; Neocallimastigomycota; Neocallimastigomycetes; Neocallimastigales
Description: partial large subunit ribosomal RNA
Rfam family: Eukaryotic large subunit ribosomal RNA
Source: RNAcentral
GAGAGAGACAUGCGCGCAUAUCAAUAAGCGGAGGAAAAGAAACUAACAAGGAUUCCCCUAGUAACGGCGAGUGAAGCGGGAAGAGCUCAAAUUUGAAAUCUUCAAGGUUUUACCUUGACGAAUUGUAGUUUAAAGAAGUGUUUUCGGUUAGAGGAGUAGUAAAAGUUCUUUGGAGUAGGACAUCAUAGAGGGUGAGAAUCCCGUAUUUGACUAUUCUUUCUAGCUUUGUGAUACACUUUCAAAGAGUCGGAUUGUUUGGGAAUGCAGUCCAAAAUGGGUGGUAAAUUUCAUCUAAAGCUAAAUAUUGGCGAGAGACCGAUAGCGAACAAGUACCGUGAGGGAAAGAUGAAAAGAACUUUGAAAAGAGAGUUAAACAGUACGUGAAAUUGUCAAAAGGGAAGCGUUUGACACCAGUGUUGUUUUCCCGAAAAUCAAUUAAAAAAGGCCGGAUUUUGUGUUGUAUUGACCUUAAAAGCUUUCUUCACUCUUUUCUUGUCUUUUUUAAUGCACUUUUCGUUUAACAAGUCAACAUCAGUUUCUUUUGUUGUAAAAGGGUCAUUGGAAGGUGGCUUUCUUUUCGGAGAAAGUGUUUAUAGCCUUUGAUCUCUGCAACCGGAGAGACUGAGGUCUGCAGCGUAGACUCUUCGGGGUUAGAUACAUUUGUGCUAAGCUAUAGCUUUUUAUAGACAACUUGUUGACUAUAUUUAGUCUUGUGGCUUACUCGCUUAUGCUAUUUUACCUACGCUUAGGAUGUUGACAGCAGUAUAGACUGU